GGUGCUAAUACCGGAUAAGAAAGACGGAUCGCAUGAUCAGCUUUUAAAAGGACGGCGUAAGCUGUCGCUAUGGGAUGGCCCCGCCGGUGCAUUAGCUAGUUGGUAAGGUAAAGGCUUACCAAGGCGAUGAUGCAUAGCCGAGUUGAGAGACUGAUCGGCCACAUUGGGACUGAGACACGGCCCAAACUCCUACGGGAGGCAGCAGGA
RNAcentral lists this ribosomal RNA (207 nucleotides) under uncultured Lactobacillus sp. RNAcentral's name for it is "partial 16S ribosomal RNA". It matches the Rfam family "Bacterial small subunit ribosomal RNA", at positions 159 to 354 of the family's 1533-position model. The record is from RNAcentral. Lineage: Bacteria; Bacillati; Bacillota; Bacilli; Lactobacillales; Lactobacillaceae.